Molecule: ribosomal RNA, 429 nt
Filed under: uncultured Alphaproteobacteria bacterium
Lineage: Bacteria; Pseudomonadati; Pseudomonadota; Alphaproteobacteria
Description: bacterial SSU rRNA
Rfam family: Bacterial small subunit ribosomal RNA
Source: RNAcentral
AAUGAACGCUGGCGGCAGGCCUAAUACAUGCAAGUCGAACGAUCCUUCGGGAUAGUGGCGGACGGGUGCGUAACACGUGGGAAUUUGCCCUUGGGUAAGGAAUAACAGUUGGAAACGACUGCUAAUACCUUAUAACAUCUCCGGAUCAAAGAUUUAUCGCCCAAGGAUGAGCCCGCGGCUGAUUAGCUUGUUGGUGGGGUAAUGGCCUACCAAGGCAACGAUCAGUAGCUGGUCUGAGAGGAUGAUCAGCCACACUGGGACUGAGACACGGCCCAGACUCCUACGGGAGGCAGCAGUAAGGAAUAUUGGACAAUGGGGGCAACCCUGAUCCAGCCAUGCCGCGUGUGUGAAGAAGGCCUUAGGGUUGUAAAACACUUUCAAUCGUGAAGAUAAUGACUGUAGCGAUACAAGAAGCUCCGGCUAACUCCG